This 256-nucleotide ribosomal RNA is filed under the name uncultured bacterium. Its description in RNAcentral is "partial 16S ribosomal RNA". It matches the Rfam family "Bacterial small subunit ribosomal RNA", at positions 1246 to 1500 of the family's 1533-position model. The record is from RNAcentral.
AAAGCGAGAUAGAGAUAUUAAGCGAAACUCAUAAAAGUAAGUCUCAGUUCGGAUUGAAGGCUGAAAUUCGCCUUUAUGAAGCCGGAAUUGCUAGUAAUGGCAGGUCAGCAUACUGCCGUGAAUACGUUCCCGGGCCUUGUACACACCGCCCGUCACACCAUGAGAGUUGGGAAUACCCGAAGCCUGUGAGCCAACUGAAAAGAGGCAGCAGUCGAAGGUAGAAUCAAUGAUUGGGGUGAAGUCGUAACAAGGUACC